This 522-nucleotide long non-coding RNA is filed under the name Equus caballus (horse). RNAcentral's name for it is "lncRNA (ENSECAG00000048277.1)". Lineage: Eukaryota; Metazoa; Chordata; Mammalia; Perissodactyla; Equidae. The record is from RNAcentral.
ACGGGGCUCUGCACCGCACACAGCCUUCUCCGGCACCUGGCUGGUACGGGGCAGUGUGGCCAGCAGCACUCUAUAGCCAGCAGCUUCCCUUGAACCCCUGUUGGGAAGUAAUACAUCAGACUGCUUCUGGUGAGACACUUUCCUGUGUACAACAUUCCCAGAUACCCCAAAGGCAUAUUUCCGGCAACUUUCAGAGGGCAGGUUUCUGGAAAGUUCUACUGAUGUGGCACCACAGCAACUUUACUGCCAUUCUCUGAGUUGCUUCUAGUCAUCUCCAAUAAGUGAAUGAGGACUGAUGAAGCAGAUGAGUUUGCUGCAGGGUCUGAAAACAAAGUGAAAAGUCCUAGAGAACCCAACAUCUUUCCAUAUCUAAGAAAAGGCUUAAAAGAAGACUCAGGACCUUGAGAAGGACCCGUGAAUCCAUGCGAUGGAAGAAACAGCACCAUGUAUUUAUGCAUAUGACUGCUUAGAGAAUUACCAUCUCCUAGAGGCUGUUCCCCAGCCCCUUGAGUUAUUGCCACC